AAAUCUGUCAUCCAGUGGCUUGAAUGGUGAUAUAUCGUCUUCGUUUGCAAAUCUCAAGGCUCUCGAAUACUUGAAUUUGUCAAACAACAACUUGACAGGCUCAAUUCCAGAUUCCCUUUCACAAUUACAGUCCUUGACAGAUAUAGAUUUGUCUAACAACCAGCUCAAUGGAUCGAUCCCCUCUGGACUUCUCAAAAGAAUUCAAGAUGGCUCCCUGAAUAUAAGACAUGGCAACAAUCCAAACCUUUGUAUCGGCGACAAUUCAUGUCAGCUUGCUGCUAAAAGGAAGAGCAAACUGGCCAUCUACAUUGUUGUCCCCUUACUUGUCAUUGUGGUGAUAGU
Triticum dicoccoides is the source of this 342-nucleotide long non-coding RNA. RefSeq lists it as uncharacterized. The record is from RefSeq and is a predicted model, not a curated record. The transcript is spliced from 4 exons. NCBI's taxonomy places the organism in Eukaryota, Viridiplantae, Streptophyta, Magnoliopsida, Poales, Poaceae.